AUCCCUUUCAAGGAUAUUUGAUAAAAUUAAAACGAUAUAAAGAAGAUUAGCAUUGAUCCCUUUGGAAGGAUAACACUGCACAAAUCCAAAAUGAUCCAACUUCUU
Molecule: small nuclear RNA, 105 nt
Organism: Lycium barbarum (goji berry)
Lineage: Eukaryota; Viridiplantae; Streptophyta; Magnoliopsida; Solanales; Solanaceae
Source: RefSeq, a predicted model, not a curated record